RNAcentral lists this ribosomal RNA (253 nucleotides) under uncultured bacterium. RNAcentral's name for it is "partial 16S ribosomal RNA". It matches the Rfam family "Bacterial small subunit ribosomal RNA", at positions 524 to 776 of the family's 1533-position model. The record is from RNAcentral.
UACGUAGGGGGCAAGCGUUGUCCGGAAUCAUUGGGCGUAAAGCGCGUGUAGGCGGUUCGGUAAGUCGGCUGUGAAAGUCCAGGGCUCAACCCUGGGAUGCCGGUCGAUACUGCCGGACUAGAGUUCGGAAGAGGCGAGUGGAAUUUCCGGUGGAGCGGUGAAAUGCAUUGAGAUCGGAAAGAACACCAACGGCGAAAGCACUCUGCUGGGCCGACACUGACACUGAGAGACGAAAGCUAGGGGAGCAAAUGGG